Prunus persica (peach) is the source of this 114-nucleotide non-coding RNA. NCBI's taxonomy places the organism in Eukaryota, Viridiplantae, Streptophyta, Magnoliopsida, Rosales, Rosaceae. The record is from Rfam.
UUUUGGGAGCUUACUAGCUUCGGAGUCAUGGGAACUCUGAAGUUAAGCGAGUUGGGGUUAGAGCAAUCCCAGGAUGGGUGACCCACUGGGAAGUUGCUCAUGAGUUUCCAGAAA